This 261-nucleotide unclassified non-coding RNA is filed under the name Hevea brasiliensis (rubber tree). The record is from RNAcentral. Lineage: Eukaryota; Viridiplantae; Streptophyta; Magnoliopsida; Malpighiales; Euphorbiaceae.
AAAGGAUUAAAAGCAAAAUCAAACAAAUAAGACAGCAAAAAGAAGCAAACUUCAAUUUAAGAGCUUUUGGAAAAUGAAGCACGAGCACUCAAAGGAAAAGAUAAGAACCCAUUAAAAAUUGACAACAUCAAUAGACAAUAAGAAAUAUAGGAAAGCCAAUCAAUUAAGAUUGCAGAAUAGAAUCUACCUGAAAAGCACAGAAUCAAGAACAAAAAGAUACAUCUGAUCACAAAGUUAAAAAAGCAUACCAUGGUGAGAAAG